Molecule: ribosomal RNA, 256 nt
Filed under: uncultured bacterium
Lineage: Bacteria
Description: partial 16S ribosomal RNA
Rfam family: Bacterial small subunit ribosomal RNA
Source: RNAcentral
UACGAAGGGGGCGAGCGUUUGUUCGGAAUUACUGGGCGUAAAGCGUGCGCAGGCGGUUCGUUGUGUCCGUCGUGAAAGCCCCGGGCUUAACCUGGGAACUGCGAUGGAAACUAGCGAGCUGGAGUGUGGCAGAGGGGGGGUGGAAUUCCGCGUGUAGCAGUGAAAUGCGUAGAGAUGCGGAGGAACACCGAUGGCGAAGGCAGCCCCCUGGGCUAACACUGACGCUCAGGCACGAAAGCGUGGGGGAGCAAACAGG